RNAcentral lists this long non-coding RNA (1160 nucleotides) under Callithrix jacchus (white-tufted-ear marmoset). RNAcentral describes it as "lncRNA (ENSCJAG00000084094.1)". Lineage: Eukaryota; Metazoa; Chordata; Mammalia; Primates; Cebidae. The record is from RNAcentral.
UGGAAUCCUACUUCCCAAUGUGAUGAUGGGAGCCUUUGGUAGGUGAUUAGGUUUAUAAGAUAUCACAGGGGUGGAGCCCUCAUACUGGGAUUAGUGCUCUUAUAAGAAGAGGAAAUAAUCAGUGCUCUCUUUCCCUCUGCCAUGUGAAGAUACAAGAAGAAGAGGGCCAUCUGAAAAUCUGGAAGAGUGUCUUCAUCAGAUACCAGAUCUGUCAACGCCUUGAACUUGGACUUCUCAGCCUUCAAAACUAUGGUCUUGGCUCUUCAGGAUUUAUAUUCCUAUUCGUUAUCUGGAAAAAAAAGGUAGGUGAGAUUUUAAUAGGAAUUAAGUUAAAUAUAUAGAUUAAUUUGAGAAUAUCACCAUCUUAACAAAUUAAGACUCAUGAUCCAUGUCUAUGAGAUGUUUUUCCAAUUAUUUAGAUUUUCAUUAAUUUUAGGAUUUGACAAUUUAAUUUAAAACAUAAUUUUCUAAAUUUUCUAAAAAUUUCUAAUUCUUUAAGAUGUGUUUGUAGUUUGAGGAUAAGUUUUGCAUAUUCUUUCUUAAAUUUAAUAAACAUUGUUUAUUAAUUAUUUCUGUUAAAUGUAUUCGUAAGUAAUUCAUUAUUUCGAGUGAUUGUAAAUGAAAUUGUUUUACAAAUUUUAUUAUCAGAUAAUUCACUACUAGGGUAAAGAAGUAAAACAUACUUUUGUAUGUUGGUAUUGUACUUGCAGCUUUCCUGAACUAGUUUAUUAACUAAUGGCUUCUUUAAGAUUUCCUGCAUAUACAGUAUUGUAUCCUCUGCAAAUGAUCAUAAUAGCAUAAUAUUAGCUGUUACUUUUUUACAGCUGCCUUUUAUCAGGUUAAAGAAGCUUCCAUUUAUUCCUUUUUUUUUAAAUCAUGAAACGAUUUUGUACUUAGUAAAAAAAGAAAACAAAUAAUUCUGCAUUUAUUGAGUUGAUCAUCUGUUUUUUGCUUUUUGCUUUAUUGGUAUGGUGCAUUACAUUACUGAUACAGUUAUAUUUGGUCUACAAGUUGACGGUUUCUGUUUUCUAUAAAUUUUGUGGUUUUUUUAAUUGUAUGUUCUUCAUUCUUUUGUUAAAUAUUUUAAAAUGUAAUGUCUUAAUUUCUUUAAUAAUUUUUAAAUUACAUCUUUUAGUCAUUUUCUUAGGGGGUCAUUCUAG